Molecule: non-coding RNA, 6934 nt
Organism: Rattus norvegicus (Norway rat)
Lineage: Eukaryota; Metazoa; Chordata; Mammalia; Rodentia; Muridae
Source: RefSeq, a predicted model, not a curated record
CCUGUGUCCCUACCCCUACUCACCUCCUCACAUAGGGUCUUGUCAGGCCUUUUGUUUUUGUUUCUCUCCUCCCUCCUCACCCCAGCUCCUUCAAAGCCUUGCUGUAUCCUAGGCUGGCUUUGAACUUACUCUGCAGCCUAGGACGGCCUCAAAUUAGCCAUCCUGUCUUGGCCACAGAAGUCCUAGGCUUAUAGGCAGGCACCGCUACACUUGGCUCGGCUGGUCGUUUUUGUUUUGUUUUUUUAGGGAGGCAGCUUUCAAAGGUUUCUGGAAACCUCUCCCAGGGACAAGGGUCUGGAGGCAGAGUGUCUAAGGGGACGUAGUGAAGCUUUCUCGUUACUGGGCUUUGAGGUUUCUCUACCUUGUACAGGAUCUGAAACAUCGGUAUAGCUUCAGAUAGCCCAGAAGUGACGGAGAGGUCCCAGGGAAGGGGAGGAGGAGCCCUGGGCCAUACGUAGAAUCCUCCUGAGGAGCAUAGUGGGCAAAUGUUGGGUCUCAGUUCAAUGUCCCCCUGCCCCAUUGCCACUCUCCAUCGCCCCCCCCCCUUGGGCCCUCCCUCUGUUUUCAUUUUUUUCUUUGCAGGUUAAAGAAAUGACUAGCAAAUAUUAGUCAUGCACACUAAUGGUUUCGUGACAUUUUCGAACUUGAUUAUAAUGUAUGUUGGCAGUAUUCUUCCCCCAUCUCCUCCUGUGUCCCCUCCUGCUGAUCCCUUUCCUCUUCCCAGAUAAUCCCCCAACUACUCCCACGUUUUGAUGUUCUCUUUUGGUGAGUCAAUGAGUUUUAUUAAGGUUUCUUGCAGGAGUGUGCAUUCAGGACAGGUUAUUGACAGUGCUGUGGGCACCUUACCCAUGGCCACAGCACUAAAGAAAAUGCCCCCUCCUCCCUUAGGAUGAACUGUUUAUAGACGCCCACGGAGGUACAGGGCCUCGCCUCUGAGUUUUUAUUUUAUCUGUGAUAGAAACAGCAUUGUUCUGUUGAUAUGUGCAUGUGUGUGCACACGCAUGUGCCCUGUGUGCAUGUUUGGCCAUGUGAUCUCAAGAGUCAGAUGCAUCUGGUUUUAUGAGGAAGUGUGCGCAUGCACUCGUCCUGGGCAGUGAUCUCGGGGCGUUCUCUUCAUGCUUAGUCAAGGUAUGCGACAUCCAGCUCAUGUGAGCAGUGUCUAGUGUUUCAGAGACAUCUGUGUCCACUGAUCUGUCCGUCUACUUGUACAUGCAGGCUCACACCGGGUCCCUGAGGGGGUGUGUGUCACUACAUGGGCAUCACGCACUAGACCCUAGACUUGGUUUCACCGUGGGGAGAUGUAUGCGCACAAGUGCCUUGGUAUCUAUGUCUAGCACUGUCCAUGUGGGUGACUGUGAGUCUUGGGGUGGGUAUCAAUCUUUUCUCAUUAUGGCACAACUACAACUUCCUUGGACCCUUGCUAUCGGGUGGCAGCCACGGUGACGUUAUGAUGCUUCAGCACUCCUGCCCCAACCUGGGCUGGAGGCACAGGGAGAGCUGCCUCUCCAUGCAGACGGUAUGGCUUGCUCUCUGUGUGCCCACAGCCAACAACUUGUCUUUUCUUGAGGCAACUAUUCAGUGAGUUGGAUCAGGCUGUGGACUUUGGCCAGGGCUGCGACUUCUCUGAGACACUUGGAGACGGGAGGGGGGACACCCUUUAAAAUCCUACCGAAGAAAACACCCAUCCUACACGUUUGAGGAGAACCUUGACCUGUGAUACUCUCUGGGGCAACAGGAGUGUCUGCUUGACCUGAAUACAGUUAAGAGAGCAGGCAGUCACCCAGGCACGUGUGCACGUGCCAAGGCUCACGCUCCAUUCCAGAGCUCAAGUUGAAUGUCAGAGGCAGACAGUGAAUCACCCAGGGGCGAGGGAGCUUGGGCAUCAAAAUCACCAUAUUCUCUAGCCCUUGUGUGGAGAAUGCUGCACCUAAUUGUGAGGAGACUGGAAGGCAUGUCUGGGUGACUAUGUGUUGUCAGGAGAGACAGGGCCACCAAAUAAAUGCCUUGGUAUCCCCUGGUUCUACAGAAGCAAACCCAACCCUUCUUCACUACCUGUUAUAGUUCUCAGUUCCAUUUCUGUUCCGUCCUUCCUCCCCUAAUUACAAACCCAUUUCUCAGAUGAAGAGACUGAGGUACCUAAUAAAUCUCCAAGGCAGAAUUAAAUAGCUAUCCCAGGUGUCUCUGAACUCUAGUCCCCAAGGUCUUGGGAGACAGCCAGACAUUUCUGAAUCUGGACCUCCUGUGCCUUAUACCCUGUCAGCUUCCAGGUAGGUGAACAGAUUCUUGUUGGCAAGGCACAGAUGUACUACUUCCCCAGGUAAAAAUUCACUACAAAAUCUGCCCCCCUCACCACUGGUAUUUGGCAUCCCAUCUGCUUCUCUCACCCCAGAGUCCUGCUAGGUCCAACGCUGAGAACUCUGGGAGCCUGCACCCUCCAGUGUUCUAUCUGUUGGUCUCAUCCCUGUGAGCUCUCCUAGGAACCUAUAUAUUCAAUAUUUGCAAUAAUUGAAUAGACUCCUGUUCCUUUUGCUCCCCAUGGUCUGACCACAGUGGCUCCUGCUGCAGCAUGGGGCAGUGGGAAAUGACCAGGACGUGCAGAAGGUAUUGAACUGGAGUCACAGGAGGUGGGGCACUGCCUGAGCCCCAAGUGACGCCCUCUGCUGGUGCCUUUUUCUCCUGUUAGCACUAGUGGCUGCUGUCAUUCAGCAGAGCUCAAGGAGACCUUGGCCAGAGUGUCUGCCAUCCAAGAUGGUGUUUCCAUGAGUGUGUGGGGACACAUGGGCUGGCAUUCAGUCCUAGAGCUUCUUGGAAAAGGGUCAGAGUCGGGGCCUGUGUAGGUGUGUUGGGGAACCCACUGAUGGGCUCCGACCUUCCCCUGUCUCAAUAUUCUGAAGAUGCCCACAGGGUACAAAGAAACCCUGUCUGAUAGGGUCCUGCCCUGCUGAGAGUCUGAGACCUCCCUAGUGAGGUCCCAAGGAUGGGAACUAUAUAAGUCUGGGGAAGAGACUGGGUUUACAUAAUCUGUGGAUAGGAGGAUGGGGAGACCAGCACACACGGCCACGCAGCAGCCUUCAGACCAUGGAGGCUGCAGUGGAUCCCACUAGUUUGUGGAGGUAUAUAGGGUCCAGGGCUGCUCAUACUUGGCCUCCCCUGGUUAGCACUGAUUCAUAUAACUCUACUUAUCUUCCCACCCCACCCCUCCACCACAGGCUGGCCUCCUACAAGGCGACAGGGUCUUGUAGAUUUAUAACAACUUGUUUGCUGGAACUUUCUGGGAUACCGUACAUGUUUUCUGUGUUAGCCAGGCCAUGUGGGCUACUGAGUACUUAAAUGUGGCUAGUGUCCACUGAAUUGGUUUUUGGUUUGUUUUGGACUGGAUUCUAAUGGUCCGAGGACUGCUGUCUGGAACUGUUUCAAACUGGCCUUCACCUCCCCAGGUUCCUUCAUUGAAAACAUCUCAGAGUACUUAUUUGGUCCUGUUGUAGGACGGGGUGGGACCGAGGUUUUAGAAAUAUGUGAAGCAUUUGACAGACUUCCAGGAGGGCGCCUGUCAUAUUGAUCUUGGUCUUACACUUGUCCCCCAUUCUCACAUCCUUUGGGUGGUGGGCAGGCUGAAAUCUUGGAAUCACAGGCUUUUGGGAAGCAAAGACGAGGAAGGAAGUGAUUUCCACCCCCUAACAAGUGCCAAAGUCCACACACACACACACACACACACACACACACACACACACACACACACACUCAGCUUUUUAAAAUUCUCCAAAUUUUGGGAUAUACCUUUUAGAAACCAGGCACAUUGCCCUAUCUGGGGUUUAUACAUAAAGAAGUUAUUGGCCUGGGAAGGUAGCUUGACUGGUAGAGCACUUGCCUUGCAUGCUGGGAGCCCUGGGUUUGAGCACGCAUAGCAUGCACAGAGCUGGACGUGGUGGCACACGGCUGUAAUCAGGAGCUAGGGGUAGGAGAAUAAGAAGUUCAAGGCCAUCCUCUUUGUAGUGCACUUGAGGCCAGCCUGGUGUACACGAGACCCUGCCUCAAAGGCAGAAAAAGAAGAGAGAAGCCAGUUGUCUUGCCUGCCCUUGGGGAAUGUAUGGGAGAGAGGGAAGGCAGAGGGAAGAAAGAGACGUGAAGGAACUGAACCAGAAACAGAGCUACAACAUGUAGGGGGUGGCCUGGAGCGGACAGCAGGGGCAGUGAUGGAAAACGGCGGGGCUUCCUGGGUAAAGCCAUUCGGUUGCAGAUACACAGAGAACUCCAGCACACAGGGAGUAGCCUCGGACUGGAGGCCAGUUACCAGCCCAGCCGUGGAGGAGGUCGGGGUAGCAGAGGGGGUGUCUGAGACGUUGAUCCUUGUGGGAGGGAGUGGGGGAAGCUGACCAAGGAGAGAGGAAGAGUGGGGAUUCUAGGCUCAGGGGAAAGUUCCAAGUGAUGAGGGUAUGCUUAGGACUGUUCAGGGACCUGGGUUCAAUUUCCAGAUAGGCAGGCAGGCAGGCAGGCAGACAGACAUAGUAACGACUUCAGCAGCUUUAUAAAAUAGCCUGUUUGGGGAUGGCUGGGUGGGAUAAACAGGAGUACUAAGAAUACAGAGAUGUUGGAGGCUGGGGAGGUUCUUGGCGAGGUGCCUGACUUAAGUAGUAAAGUCCCACUGAAGAGGCAAAAGCAAGGGAGCACCACAGCCUAAUAGGUAUGAGCUGGCUGUUCUCAGGCUGUAGGGGAACUGUGCAGAGGCAGAAAGACUCCUGCUGUGACAGCCUGACCUGGGCUGAGGCAGGCCGGACUGAGGUGAUGCGUGAUGGGUUUGCAGUGUGGCCUAUGGCUGAGGAGGAUGAGUGUCCUGAUUGUACAUCAGCCGAUUGCUGCUCGAGAAACCUUGGGCAAAUGACUUAGUCCAAUGCCUCGGUUUCCCCCGCCCACAGUCAGUAAUAAUCUUGGUCUCCUCGGGGAAUCGUGUACAGUCUCAACCCAAGGCCUGGCUCGGUUUUUACUGGUUGGAUAAACGAUAGUUGCUGCUGGUCCUGCUGCUGUGGGCACAAGAGGAGAGGACAAACUUCACAUCGUUAGGAGGUACGGAGGUUGGCAGAUCUGACCCAACUGGACCCGACCUUCAGAUCUCAGAGGCUCCUCUUGGGGAUGCAGAGCCAACCAGCUAAUCGUACUCACUGCAGCCCAGUCCAAAGCCUGUCCUCACUCUGUAGCCCAUUCCUGGGACCUUUCCCACGGCUGCAUGCCCGCAUGCCAGUGCCAUGAAUGUGAGCCAGUGCCUGUGUGCGCAUGACAGGGAAAAGCAGAUGCCCUUGAAAUGUUCAGCUCUGUAUUGAUGAUAUAGGUAUCUGUGGGCUUUGACAUCCUGUGAGUUAGACAUCCGGGAGGUCUGUGUUGUAGCCCUGAGUCAGCUACAAAAUACUCAGGAGCCCUGAGAACCACAUCUGUCUUCGGGACUCGAUUUGGGCUAAAAGUCACUACUGUGUUCUUAGCUACUACAGCAGACUUUGCCAACUAGCAUCUUCCUUGUCCUGGAGGGAGGGAGGCCCUUGGGAGAGUCUGGGAGUUCCUUACCUCUUCCCGGUGUACCUCACUGCAUGACUCUGUACUCCCCUCCCCAUCGAGUCUAUCCCAUCCCUGCGGACAGCAUAAGCCCCCAUUCCCUUCUAAACUGGUCCCUUGUCUUCCUCAUCUCUGAUCUCCUAGAGCAGAGCUUGAGCUAAGCUGGAUAGAUGAUUUCCCCUUAGCUUGGUGGGCCGUCUCUCUCUUGCCUCCCCACCAGCUUCCCUAUCUUAGGGAGUUGCUUUGUGGGUGAGGGAAGCAGGGAUGCGGCCAGCAUUUAGAGAGGGUCUUGGGUCCCCUGUCCCGAGGGCAGGUAUGGUGCCCGCUGGGAAGCCUCCAACGCCACCAAGUGCAAGCAGUACUUCAGUGAGCAGUGGGAAAAGGUGUUGCCCUGUUUGGAUCUUGACUACAAGCAGAAGCUGAUGCUCUUCUCUCUAGAAUGUCGCCAGGCCCCAGUGCACAACAAGCACACCAAAGCCAAGAAUGUUUUCAUGGUGAGCACCGACAACUUCCAGGCUUUGGAAGUCAGCCGGGACCAGCCCAUGCUGGAAGACCCUGCUGAGGGUGAGGGACCUACUGUAGCCUGGCAACCACUCCCAACUUUAGGGUUGUCAAGAUGGAGGCAGACCUGGGCAAAGUGGUUGUGUCGGACAUGUAUACUACGUGACUGACUAUAGAGGACGCACCACUGGAGCCACAGAGAGUCAACCUGUGUCAGGCACUGAUGGACACAGAGCACGACCUUCACCAAGUGCUGCCUACAGCCCGGGCACUGGGCCAGCCACAUUGAGUACAACAGUGAAGAAGCCAGGCCUGGCCCUUCUCAUUGGGUGAAUACAGACAUGUUUCUCACUCCCUGGGCCAGAGGUUGCCAGCUGGUUCUUGGGCCGUGGCUGACUUACAUUGGGUUUGAUGAACUUUUACUGUGCUUAUCAUAUACACACACACACGCGCACGCAUGCACGGACGCACGCACGCGCGCGCGUCAGGACCAGUCUCCAGUUCACUAUGUAGCUAAAGAUAACCUUGGCUUUCUGAUCCUCCUGCUGUACUCUCCCAAUUGCUGAGAUUAUAUAUAUAUUCAUAUUCCAGAGCUUGGAGUUUCUAUAAUUUCCCAUUUUUAAUCUUCUGAUUCCCUGCAAGCUCUAAGCCACCCACGUGGCUCCUGGAGUUGCACAUGGCACCCUAGAUUCAGCUGUGUGAGUCCUGGGGUGUGAGGCUGGAGGUGGAGGGAAAGUUGGAUUAAUUCUAUAGAGACAAACAGCACAUAUCGGGACCCUUAUUGGCCAGGAAUGGCUAGUGAAUGUCUUUUGUUGAGUCCCUGAGCCACUGGGUGAACCCCCCUGCUCCUUGCCCCUGAAUAAAAUACCCUGCAGGUAUGAGAGCUGAUAAA